CGGAGGGUGCGAGCGUUGUCCGGAAUCAUUGGGCGUAAAGGGCGCGUAGGUGGCCCGGUCAGUUCGUGGUGAAAGCGCGGGGCUCAACUCCGCGUCGGCCAUGAAUACUGCUGGGCUGGAGCACUGUAGAGGCAGGCGGAAUUCCGGGUGUAGCGGUGGAAUGCGUAGAGAUCCGGAAGAACACCGGUGGCGAAGGCGGCCUGCUGGGCAGUUGCUGACACUGAGGCGCGACAGCGUGGGGAGCAAACAGGAUUAGAUACCCUGGUAGUCCACGCCGUAAACGAUGGGCACUAGGCGCUUGGGGGAGCGACCCUCCGAGGGCCGGCGCUAACGCAUUAAGUGCCCCGCCUGGGGAGUACGGCCGCAAGGCUG
This 372-nucleotide ribosomal RNA is filed under the name uncultured organism. Its description in RNAcentral is "bacterial SSU rRNA". It matches the Rfam family "Bacterial small subunit ribosomal RNA", at positions 526 to 896 of the family's 1533-position model. The record is from RNAcentral.